CUAAGCUUCACCACCACAUCCUCUCCCGCCAAUACUCCAUUCACCCCUUCAGCCAUCAAGGUCCGGUGGCACCUACAGACUUGCUCCGCCAACUUCCUCAUCCUCAACCUGGGGUCAGAAGUUCAUUUGAUCAAUAAGCGCUUGCGGAUUCCCUACUCUGCAGCUUGUAUACAGUCUGCUCAAGACAGACUGCAGCACCUUCCUCAGAACCAGUGAGGAGCAGAUGAAGUAAGAGGACAGACAGAGAACACCCAGCAACUCAGCUCAAAAGUCAGACUCUUCCUCCCCGUGGAUAUAUGAGCACACACACAGAAACAUACUGACUUGGUAACACAGGAAGAGAGAAGAAAGGAAGGAGGGAGAGAGCCUUGUGAUUUACAUUACUGUGAGUGGACCGGAAGAUCAUCACAGUAGCUGAAACAUGACGGUUAAGGGCACGGAAAGACAAGCAUCACGUGAUCCCACUCACAGGUCACUUCCUGGAAGCAGAGAAAAGGGCAUUCCCAGGGGCUGGUGUGGAUGAGGAGCGGGGAUGGGGAGAGGCUGGUUGAAGAGUAAAGAUUACAUCUAUUGUU
Long non-coding RNA from Apodemus sylvaticus (European woodmouse), 575 nucleotides. RefSeq lists it as uncharacterized. Lineage: Eukaryota; Metazoa; Chordata; Mammalia; Rodentia; Muridae. The transcript has 3 exons. The record is from RefSeq and is a predicted model, not a curated record.